Molecule: ribosomal RNA, 460 nt
Filed under: uncultured bacterium
Lineage: Bacteria
Description: partial 16S ribosomal RNA
Rfam family: Bacterial small subunit ribosomal RNA
Source: RNAcentral
CCUACGGGUGGCAGCAGUGAGGAAUAUUGGUCAAUGGACGAGAGUCUGAACCAGCCAAGUAGCGUGAAGGAUGACUGCCCUAUGGGUUGUAAACUUCGUUUAUAUGGGAAUAAAACGUUCCACGUGUGGGAUUUUGUAUGUACCAUAUGAAUAAGGAUCGGCUAACUCCGUGCCAGCAGCCGCGGUAAUACGGAGGAUCCGAGCGUUAUCCGGAUUUAUUGGGUUUAAAGGGAGCGUAGGUGGAUUGUUAAGUCAGUUGUGAAAGUUUGCGGCUCAACCGUAAAAUUGCAGUUGAAACUGGCAGUCUUGAGUACAGUAGAGGUGGGCGGAAUUCGUGGUGUAGCGGUGAAAUGCUUAGAUAUCACGAAGAACUCCGAUUGCGAAGGCAGUUCACUGGACUGCAACUGACACUGAGGCUCGAAAGUGUGGGUAUCAAACAGGAUUAGAUACCCUUGUAGUC